This 450-nucleotide ribosomal RNA is filed under the name uncultured bacterium. RNAcentral's name for it is "partial 16S ribosomal RNA". It matches the Rfam family "Bacterial small subunit ribosomal RNA", at positions 354 to 796 of the family's 1533-position model. The record is from RNAcentral.
GUGGGGAAUUUUGGACAAUGGGCGCAAGCCUGAUCCAGCAAUGCCGCGUGCAGGAAGAAGGCCUUCGGGUUGUAAACUGCUUUUGUACGGAACGAAAAGGCUCUGGCUAAUACCUGGAGCUCAUGACGGUACCGUAAGAAUAAGCACCGGCUAACUACGUGCCAGCAGCCGCGGUAAUACGUAGGGUGCGAGCGUUAAUCGGAAUUACUGGGCGUAAAGCGUGCGCAGGCGGUGCUGUAAGACAGGCGUGAAAUCCGCGGGCUCAACCUGGGAAUUGCGGUUGUGACUGCAGCGCUGGAGUGCGGCAGAGGGGGAUGGAAUUCCGCGUGUAGCAGUGAAAUGCGUAGAUAUGCGGAGGAACACCGAUGGCGAAGGCAAUCCCCUGGGCCUGCACUGACGCUCAUGCACGAAAGCGUGGGGAGCAAACAGGAUUAGAAACCCGAGUAGUCC